Molecule: ribosomal RNA, 508 nt
Filed under: Priestia aryabhattai
Lineage: Bacteria; Bacillati; Bacillota; Bacilli; Caryophanales; Bacillaceae
Description: bacterial SSU rRNA
Rfam family: Bacterial small subunit ribosomal RNA
Source: RNAcentral
UCUUAUGGACGAGUCUGACGGAGCACGCCGCGUGAGUGAUGAAGGCUUUCGGGUCGUAAAACUCUGUUGUUAGGGAAGAACAAGUACGAGAGUAACUGCUCGUACCUUGACGGUACCUAACCAGAAAGCCACGGCUAACUACGUGCCAGCAGCCGCGGUAAUACGUAGGUGGCAAGCGUUAUCCGGAAUUAUUGGGCGUAAAGCGCGCGCAGGCGGUUUCUUAAGUCUGAUGUGAAAGCCCACGGCUCAACCGUGGAGGGUCAUUGGAAACUGGGGAACUUGAGUGCAGAAGAGAAAAGCGGAAUUCCACGUGUAGCGGUGAAAUGCGUAGAGAUGUGGAGGAACACCAGUGGCGAAGGCGGCUUUUUGGUCUGUAACUGACGCUGAGGCGCGAAAGCGUGGGGAGCAAACAGGAUUAGAUACCCUGGUAGUCCACGCCGUAAACGAUGAGUGCUAAGUGUUAGAGGGUUUCCGCCCUUUAGUGCUGCAGCUAACGCAUUAAGCACUC